UACGUAGGCAGCGAGCGUUGUUCGGAAUUACUGGGCGUAAAGAGUGUGUAGGCGGUGCUCUAAGUUCGGUGUGAAAUCUCCUGGCUCAACUGGGAGGGUGCGCCGGAAACUGGAGUGCUUGAGCGUGGGAGAGGAAAGCGGAAUUCCUGGUGUAGCGGUGAAAUGCGUAGAUAUCAGGAGGAACACCGGUGGCGAAGGCGGAUCUCUGGGCCAUUACUGACGCUGAGGAGCGAAAGCGUGGGGAGCGAACAGG
Molecule: ribosomal RNA, 253 nt
Filed under: uncultured bacterium
Lineage: Bacteria
Description: partial 16S ribosomal RNA
Rfam family: Bacterial small subunit ribosomal RNA
Source: RNAcentral